RNAcentral lists this ribosomal RNA (601 nucleotides) under uncultured bacterium. RNAcentral's name for it is "bacterial SSU rRNA". It matches the Rfam family "Bacterial small subunit ribosomal RNA", at positions 734 to 1339 of the family's 1533-position model. The record is from RNAcentral.
GUGUUACUGACGCUAAAGCUCGAAAGUGCGGGUAUCGAACAGGAUUAGAUACCCUGGUAGUCCGCACGGUAAACGAUGGAUGCCCGCUGUUUGCCCUUCGGGGUGAGUGGCUAAGCGAAAGCGUUAAGCAUCCCACCUGGGGAGUACGCCGGCAACGGUGAAACUCAAAGGAAUUGACGGGGGCCCGCACAAGCGGAGGAACAUGUGGUUUAAUUCGAUGAUACGCGAGGAACCUUACCCGGGCUUGAAUUGCAGAUGACGGAUCUAGAGAUAGAGACUUCCUUCGGGACAUCUGUGAAGGUGCUGCAUGGUUGUCGUCAGCUCGUGCCGUGAGGCGUCGGCUUAAGUGCCAUAACGAGCGCAACCCUUCUCUUCAGUUGCCAUCAGGUUAAGCUGGGCACUCUGGAGACACUGCCACCGUAAGGUGUGAGGAAGGUGGGGAUGACGUCAAAUCAGCACGGCCCUUACGUCCGGGGCUACACACGUGUUACAAUGGCCGGUACAGAAAGUCGGAUGCCCGUAAGGUCAUUCUAAUCAAGAAAGCCGGUCCCAGUUCGGACUGAGGUCUGCAACCCGACCUCACGAAGCUGGAUUCGCUAGU